GAUUUUUGUCAUGUCUGAAGCUCAGAUAACCAAACUAAAAGAAGAAACUAAACAGUUGCAAGCAGAGCUUGAAUUACCACGAAUAUUAACUUCUACUGCCUGCUCAGAUCUUAUAAAGUAUUGCCAAGAAAAACUUCCUUUGGAUCCUCUUGCUUCGCACUGCUUCGAUAAGACUAAUUACGACACGAAAAAAGCGCCUUGUACACUUAUAUGAAAGUUUUUUAACUUUUGUUUAAAGAAACAAAAA
Long non-coding RNA from Zophobas morio, 247 nucleotides. RefSeq lists it as uncharacterized. The transcript has 3 exons. The record is from RefSeq and is a predicted model, not a curated record. NCBI's taxonomy places the organism in Eukaryota, Metazoa, Arthropoda, Insecta, Coleoptera, Tenebrionidae.